This 685-nucleotide ribosomal RNA is filed under the name uncultured bacterium. RNAcentral's name for it is "bacterial SSU rRNA". It matches the Rfam family "Bacterial small subunit ribosomal RNA", at positions 32 to 715 of the family's 1533-position model. The record is from RNAcentral.
AACGCUAGCUACAGGCUUAACACAUGCAAGUCGAGGGGUAGCAGGGUAGCAAUACCGCUGACGACCGGCGCACGGGUGAGUAACACGUAUCCAACCUUCCCUUAACUCGGGGAUAGCCUUUCGAAAGAAAGAUUAAUACCCGAUAGUAUCUUUGGGUCUCCUGACCUUUAGAUUAAAGAAUUUCGGUUAUGGAUGGGGAUGCGUUCCAUUAGGCAGUUGGUGAGGUAACGGCUCACCAAACCUACGAUGGAUAGGGGUUCUGAGAGGAAGGUCCCCCACAUUGGAACUGAGACACGGUCCAAACUCCUACGGGAGGCAGCAGUGAGGAAUAUUGGUCAAUGGGCGCGAGCCUGAACCAGCCAAGUAGCGUGAAGGAUGAAGGUCCUAUGGAUUGUAAACUUCUUUUAUAGGGGAAUAAAGUUUGGCACGUGUGCCAUUUUGUAUGUACCCUAUGAAUAAGGAUCGGCUAACUCCGUGCCAGCAGCCGCGGUAAUACGGAGGAUCCGAGCGUUAUCCGGAUUUAUUGGGUUUAAAGGGUGCGUAGGUGGUUUGAUAAGUCAGCGGUGAAAGUUUGCAGCUUAACUGUAAAAAUGCCGUUGAAACUGUCGGACUUGAGUGUAAAUGAGGUAGGCGGAAUGCGUGGUGUAGCGGUGAAAUGCAUAGAUAUCACGAAGAACUCCGAUUG